This 88-nucleotide transfer RNA is filed under the name Pseudomonadota bacterium. RNAcentral describes it as "tRNA-Ser". It matches the Rfam family "tRNA". Rfam says of the family: Transfer RNA (tRNA) molecules are approximately 80 nucleotides in length. RNAcentral also lists the same sequence under 1 other name. Lineage: Bacteria; Pseudomonadati; Pseudomonadota. The record is from RNAcentral.
GGAGGGAUGGCCGAGUGGUUUAAGGCGCACGCCUGGAAAGCGUGUUGGGGGCAACCCCUCACGGGUUCGAAUCCCGUUCCCUCCGCCA